GCAGUAUGUCAAUAUAUCUACAUUAAUUAAUGCAUUAUACUUGAAAAGCAAAUGUAUUAAAAAGAAAACAUGCCAACAACAUGUUUUUCACUUCGUCAGUAACACAUUCAAGAUGACAUCGUACCAAGAAGUAUACUCAAGAAUUGAAACUUGAAAAAUCAGAGGAAAAGAAAUUGAAACCCAGACUACAACGAACUCACAAUCAAAUCUUUCCCACAGCUUUAAAGCUAUUCUGAAUCCCAGAAAAAAUUGAAACCAACCAGUGAACAUAGGGUCUUCUAACUGAAUCACAAUUUUUGGAGAAUCGACUCUAUGAACCUAAAGUAGGAUGAACAGAAUACCACAUGUAUUAUGUUUACCACCCUUCCUAAUUUAACAACACUAACCAACCAAAGUGUUGCUAAAAAAUUAUCGGAAAUGAUAGAGGAGGGCAACAACUAACCAACAACCCUAUCAAGAACCAAACAGAAUACAUGUAAGAACUUGAGCUGCUAGUAAUCAAGGCUGCUGCGAGCCAACAAGUGCAGAAUUUUGCACUUGAAAUCGUACAAACAGACUGCCUAGAUGGUUGCAAAACAAAACAGACCUACAAUAGGGCCCAUCAGUCCAGAUCAAUGUCCUAAGUAUUGCCUGCUAUCGAUGCAAAUUUACUACUCUAAUUGGCCUCUUCAGCAGCUAAGAAGAAUAGAACUCUCAGGAUGGUAAGAGGGCAGGCAAGUCUGGAACAAGAGAAGGAAAAUAGAGCCAAUACGAACAUAUACAGUCAAUGAAUGCUUAAAAAAACAAUUCCAGAAUCGUUUUGACACUUAUACUCGAUUGCACAACUGGAAAGAGAUAAUAUAUGACUCUAUGGGAUUAUCUUUCACUUGCAAAUAAUAACAAAAACUGGUAUUAAUUAGUGCAAGAUCAUGAUAGGAAGAAUCAAAAUACCAAUAAACUUAAGCAAUCGGACAAAUUAAGACUUAGCUUCAACUAAAUCAAUCCAGCAACAACCACACAUUUCCAUUCAACUACAACAUUGAAUUUCCAAAUAACUCUACCAACAGUUAGUAACCAUUAAUAUGAGUUUGGGAAUCGAUACAUGAGCCUAACCCACAAGGAUUCAAAUAUAAACGUGAGCUAAUUUCAAACCAACAUCAAAGAAACACUGAUGGAUUUUUAGCGACGGAUGAGUUAGGAUAAUCUUAGACUCGAUUCAGACUUCAAUUGUUCAAACCAAAAUAAAGCAAAUCUGACCUUGCAUGGUGCUCCCAAACACAGUGAUUUAUAAAGGAAAUAAACAAAAAUGCAGAAAAUGACACGACUCGAGCCUGUAAUUACUGACAUUUACUUAAAUGUGGCAUGUAAUUUCAAUCUCCAUAUCUUAUAUUCAACCAUACUCGGAUUUACACAUACAGAGAAAUCGGUAGAAAGAACGAACUGCACCUGAAGAUUGGGGUUUAAUUCCUCGAAAAUAUUCAGCAACUACACGAACAAAAUCGAUAUCAAAGCUAGAACAAAGACUUGAACCAAACAAUAAGCUCGGACAGAAUCUCCAGUCGGAUAGUAACGCCUAAUCUCGAACCUCAUCUCCAACUCAUAACAAAGAUGAAAUUUCUGAAAUUAAAAGGUGAGACGAACAUAGUUGCUAACUUUAAAUGAAACAAUUUUUGUAUUUUUAUUUGUCACUGGAAUUCAACAAAGAAAAUGCUUAUGAAUUAAAAUAGAAUAAAAGAAGCUUUUUCAGAACCCUCUCUCCCUUUCUCCUCAAAACCAGACCUGGUUUUAUAUAGC
RNAcentral lists this long non-coding RNA (1773 nucleotides) under Nicotiana benthamiana. RNAcentral describes it as "long non-coding RNA (NBEN_LNC006327)". The record is from RNAcentral. Lineage: Eukaryota; Viridiplantae; Streptophyta; Magnoliopsida; Solanales; Solanaceae.